This 463-nucleotide ribosomal RNA is filed under the name uncultured bacterium. RNAcentral describes it as "partial 16S ribosomal RNA". It matches the Rfam family "Bacterial small subunit ribosomal RNA", at positions 339 to 795 of the family's 1533-position model. The record is from RNAcentral.
CUACGGGGGGCUCCAGUGGGGAAUAUUGGACAAUGGGCGCAAGCCUGAUCCAGCAAUACCGCGUGUGUGAAGAAGGCCUUAGGGUUGUAAAGCACUUUCAAUGGGAAGGAAUACCUAUCGGCAAAUACCCGGUAGACUGACAUUACCCAUACAAGAAGCACCGGCUAACUCCGUGCCAGCAGCCGCGGUAAUACGGAGGGUGCAAGCGUUAAUCAGAAUUACUGGGCGUAAAGCGUGCGUAGGCGGCUCGUUAAGUCAGAUGUGAAAGCCCCGGGCUCAACCUGGGAACUGCAUUUGAAACUGGCGAGCUAGAGUUGAGUAGAGGAGAGUGGAAUUCCAGGUGUAGCGGUGAAAUGCGUAGAGAUCUGAAGGAACAUCAGUGGCGAAGGCGACUCUCUGGACUCAAACUGACGCUGAGGUACGAAAGCGUGGGUAGCAAACAGGGUUAGAUACCCGAGUAGUC